AGAGGGAUAGCUGGGUCAAAUGGUGGCUCCAUUCCAGUUAUCCAAGAAAUCUCCAUAUUGCUUUCUAAAUUGGCUGCACCAAUUUGCAGUCCCACCAGCAAU
RNAcentral lists this microRNA precursor (102 nucleotides) under Marmota monax (woodchuck). Lineage: Eukaryota; Metazoa; Chordata; Mammalia; Rodentia; Sciuridae. The record is from RNAcentral.